AGAGUUUGAUCAUGGCUCAGGAUGAACGCUGGCGGCGUGCCUAAUACAUGCAAGUCGAACGCUUUGUUUUUAAUUGAUAUGAAGAGCUUGCUCUGAUUUGAUUUUAUCUGACAAAGAGUGGCGAACGGGUGAGUAACACGUGGGUAACCUACCUCUUAGCAGGGGAUAACAUUUGGAAACAAGUGCUAAUACCGUAUAACACUAACAACCGCAUGGUUGUUAGUUGAAAGAUGGUUCUGCUAUCACUAAGAGAUGGACCCGCGGUGCAUUAGCUAGUUGGUAAGGUAAUGGCUUACCAAGGCGAUGAUGCGUAGCCGAGUUGAGAGACUGAUCGGCCACAAUGGGACUGAGACACGGCCCAUACUCCUACGGGAGGCAGCAGUAGGGAAUCUUCCACAAUGGGCGCAAGCCUGAUGGAGCAACGCCGCGUGUGUGAUGAAGGGUUUCGGCUCGUAAAACACUGUUAUAAGAGAAGAACGACAUUGAGAGUAACUGUUCAGUGUGUGACGGUAUCUUAUCAGAAAGGAACGGCUAAAUACGUGCCAGCAGCCGCGGUAAUACGUAUGUUCCAAGCGUUAUCCGGAUUUAUUGGGCGUAAAGCGAGCGCAGACGGUUAUUUAAGUCUGAAGUGAAAGCCCUCAGCUCAACUGAGGAAGGGCUUUGGAAACUGGAUAACUUGAGUGCAGUAGAGGAAAGUGGAACUCCAUGUGUAGCGGUGAAAUGCGUAGAUAUAUGGAAGAACACCGGUGGCGAAAGCGGCUUUCUGGACUGUAACUGACGUUGAGGCUCGAAAGUGUGGGUAGCAAACAGGAUUAGAUACCCUGGUAGUCCACACCGUAAACGAUGAGUGCUAGAUGUUCGAGGGUUUCCGCCCUUGAGUGUCGCAGCU
Molecule: ribosomal RNA, 889 nt
Filed under: uncultured bacterium
Lineage: Bacteria
Description: bacterial SSU rRNA
Rfam family: Bacterial small subunit ribosomal RNA
Source: RNAcentral